GCUCCUGUGGCGCAAUCGGUUAGCGCGCGGUACUUAUACAGCAGUACUUGGGGAAGAUAUGCUGAGGUUGUGAGUUCAAGCCUCACCAGGAGCA
Molecule: transfer RNA, 94 nt
Filed under: Astyanax mexicanus (Mexican tetra)
Lineage: Eukaryota; Metazoa; Chordata; Actinopteri; Characiformes; Acestrorhamphidae
Rfam family: tRNA
About the family: Transfer RNA (tRNA) molecules are approximately 80 nucleotides in length. Their secondary structure includes four short double-helical elements and three loops (D, anti-codon, and T loops).
Source: Rfam by way of RNAcentral